Molecule: ribosomal RNA, 1675 nt
Filed under: Salmonella enterica subsp. enterica serovar Bareilly str. ATCC 9115
Lineage: Bacteria; Pseudomonadati; Pseudomonadota; Gammaproteobacteria; Enterobacterales; Enterobacteriaceae
Description: bacterial LSU rRNA
Rfam family: Bacterial large subunit ribosomal RNA
Source: RNAcentral
GCUGGAGGUAUCAGAAGUGCGAAUGCUGACAUAAGUAACGAUAAAGCGGGUGAAAAGCCCGCUCGCCGGAAGACCAAGGGUUCCUGUCCAACGUUAAUCGGGGCAGGGUGAGUCGACCCCUAAGGCGAGGCCGAAAGGCGUAGUCGAUGGGAAACGGGUUAAUAUUCCCGUACUUGGUGUUACUGCGAAGGGGGGACGGAGAAGGCUAUGUUGGCCGGGCGACGGUUGUCCCGGUUUAAGCGUGUAGGUGUGUGUUCCAGGUAAAUCCGGUCCACUUUAACACUGAGGCGUGAUGACGAGGCACUACGGUGCUGAAGCAACAAAUGCCCUGCUUCCAGGAAAAGCCUCUAAGCAUCAGGUAACAUCAAAUCGUACCCCAAACCGACACAGGUGGUCAGGUAGAGAAUACCAAGGCGCUUGAGAGAACUCGGGUGAAGGAACUAGGCAAAAUGGUGCCGUAACUUCGGGAGAAGGCACGCUGACACGUAGGUGAAGUGAUUUACUCACGGAGCUGAAGUCAGUCGAAGAUACCAGCUGGCUGCAACUGUUUAUUAAAAACACAGCACUGUGCAAACACGAAAGUGGACGUAUACGGUGUGACGCCUGCCCGGUGCCGGAAGGUUAAUUGAUGGGGUCAGCGCAAGCGAAGCUCCUGAUCGAAGCCCCGGUAAACGGCGGCCGUAACUAUAACGGUCCUAAGGUAGCGAAAUUCCUUGUCGGGUAAGUUCCGACCUGCACGAAUGGCGUAAUGAUGGCCAGGCUGUCUCCACCCGAGACUCAGUGAAAUUGAACUCGCUGUGAAGAUGCAGUGUACCCGCGGCAAGACGGAAAGACCCCGUGAACCUUUACUAUAGCUUGACACUGAACAUUGAGCCUUGAUGUGUAGGAUAGGUGGGAGGCUUUGAAGCGUGGACGCCAGUCUGCGUGGAGCCGACCUUGAAAUACCACCCUUUAAUGUUUGAUGUUCUAACGUGGACCCGUAAUCCGGGUUGCGGACAGUGUCUGGUGGGUAGUUUGACUGGGGCGGUCUCCUCCUAAAGAGUAACGGAGGAGCACGAAGGUUGGCUAAUCCUGGUCGGACAUCAGGAGGUUAGUGCAAUGGCAUAAGCCAGCUUGACUGCGAGCGUGACGGCGCGAGCAGGUGCGAAAGCAGGUCAUAGUGAUCCGGUGGUUCUGAAUGGAAGGGCCAUCGCUCAACGGAUAAAAGGUACUCCGGGGAUAACAGGCUGAUACCGCCCAAGAGUUCAUAUCGACGGCGGUGUUUGGCACCUCGAUGUCGGCUCAUCACAUCCUGGGGCUGAAGUAGGUCCCAAGGGUAUGGCUGUUCGCCAUUUAAAGUGGUACGCGAGCUGGGUUUAGAACGUCGUGAGACAGUUCGGUCCCUAUCUGCCGUGGGCGCUGGAGAACUGAGGGGGGCUGCUCCUAGUACGAGAGGACCGGAGUGGACGCAUCACUGGUGUUCGGGUUGUCAUGCCAAUGGCACUGCCCGGUAGCUAAAUGCGGAAGAGAUAAGUGCUGAAAGCAUCUAAGCACGAAACUUGCCCCGAGAUGAGUUCUCCCUGAGACUUAGAGUCUCCUGAAGGAACGUUGAAGACGACGACGUUGAUAGGCCGGGUGUGUAAGCGCAGCGAUGCGUUGAGCUAACCGGUACUAAUGAACCGUGAGGCUUAACCUU